GACGAACGCUGGCGGCGUGCUUAACACAUGCAAGUCGAACGGGCCCGCUCUCUUUUUUGGGGGUGGGUUGAGUGGCGAACGGGUGAGUAUCACGUGAGUAACCUGCCCCCUGCUCCUGGAUAAUUGCUUGAAAGGGCGGCUAAUACGGGGUGUGCCGGCUGGUCCGCAUGGGCCUGGUCGGGAUAGUUUCAUCUUCGGGUGUUUCGGUGGGGGAUGGGCUCGCGGCCUAUCAGCUUGUUGGUGGGGUGAUGGCCCACCAAGGCGGUGACGGGUAGCCGGCCUGAGAGGGUGGGCGGCCACACUGGGACUGAGACACGGCCCAGACUCCUGCGGGAGGCAGCAGUGGGGGGUAUUGCACAAUGGGCGGAAGCCUGAUGCAGCGACGUCGCGUGAGGGAUGGAGGCCUUCGGGUUGUGAACCUCUUUCUCCGGUGGUGAAGGCCCUGUCCGUUGCGGCGGGGUUGACGGUAGCCGGGUAUGAAGCGCCGGCUAACUACGUG
RNAcentral lists this ribosomal RNA (499 nucleotides) under uncultured bacterium. RNAcentral's name for it is "partial 16S ribosomal RNA". It matches the Rfam family "Bacterial small subunit ribosomal RNA", at positions 28 to 507 of the family's 1533-position model. The record is from RNAcentral.